UACGGCCACAUUACGUUAAACCACCAGUUCCCGUUCGAUCACCGAAGUUAAGCAAUGUCGAGCCUCGUCAUUACAUAGAUGGGUGCCCGCUUGCCAAUACCAAGUA
Non-coding RNA from Acanthosepion pharaonis, 106 nucleotides. The record is from the annotation of a GenBank genome assembly. Lineage: Eukaryota; Metazoa; Mollusca; Cephalopoda; Sepiida; Sepiidae.